This 477-nucleotide ribosomal RNA is filed under the name Triticum aestivum (bread wheat). RNAcentral's name for it is "partial small subunit ribosomal RNA". Lineage: Eukaryota; Viridiplantae; Streptophyta; Magnoliopsida; Poales; Poaceae. The record is from RNAcentral.
AUGGGGUACGUCGCCCAUGAAUAUCGGGUCAGCUUGGUCAGCAGCCGGUGGCACGGUGACACCAUACCUCAGCUUCCUGUCGCCUACAUCGCGUGCCCUGACCUUAAGCUCCUGAAUCCUCGUUGCGAUCCGGUGCCUCUCCGGGAUGGUGCGCACAUAGCGGACGAUGUGCCGCAAGUAGCCCAGGAAGCCACUAGCGUGGUGGCCAGCGUCUGUAACGCUGUGGAUGUAGAGCUCGACGUUGCCCUCGCAGUCGCGGGUGAGGUCGACGACUUGCUUCAUCCAAGCGCGCACCUGGUGGUCGCGGUGGUGCGCCUCGAUGAGGUGGAGGAGCAGGCCGUUCAUGCUUUCCAUCUCAUCCUUGAUGAACUCCACGUCGCAAUGGAGGCCGCCGAGCAGCUGCGCCUCGUCGACGAGGAUGGCGGUGAGGCGGCCAAGGAGCGAGUCGACAGCGCCCUGGGCAUCCAUCUUGCUUGA